Molecule: transfer RNA, 72 nt
Filed under: Minisyncoccota bacterium
Lineage: Bacteria; Bacillati; Minisyncoccota
Description: tRNA-Gln
Rfam family: tRNA
About the family: Transfer RNA (tRNA) molecules are approximately 80 nucleotides in length.
Source: RNAcentral
UGGGGGGUGGUGCAACCGGUAACACGUCUCCCUUUGAAGGAGAAAUUUCAGGUCCGAAUCCUGGCCCCCCAG